AGUGAACGCUGGCGGUAGGCCUAACACAUGCAAGUCGAACGGCAGCACAGUAAGAGCUUGCUCUUACGGGUGGCGAGUGGCGGACGGGUGAGGAAUACAUCGGAAUCUACUUUUUCGUGGGGGAUAACGUAGGGAAACUUACGCUAAUACCGCAUACGACCUACGGGUGAAAGCAGGGGAUCUUCGGACCUUGCGUGAUUGAAUGAGCCGAUGUCGGAUUAGCUAGUUGGCGGGGUAAAGGCCCACCAAGGCGACGCUCCGUAGCUGGUCUGAGAGGUUGAUCGGCCACACGAGAACGGAGACACGGUCAAGGCUCCUACGGGAGGCAGCAGUCGGGAAUAUUGGACAAUGGGCGCAAGCCUAAUCCAGCCAUACCGCGGGGGUGAAGAAGGCCUUCGGUUUGUAAAGCCCUUUUGUUGGGAAAGAAAAGCAGCAGGUUAAUACCCCGCUGUUCUGACGGUACCCAAAGAAUAAGCACCGGCUAACUUCGUG
RNAcentral lists this ribosomal RNA (492 nucleotides) under uncultured bacterium. RNAcentral describes it as "partial 16S ribosomal RNA". It matches the Rfam family "Bacterial small subunit ribosomal RNA", at positions 29 to 507 of the family's 1533-position model. The record is from RNAcentral.